This 253-nucleotide ribosomal RNA is filed under the name uncultured bacterium. RNAcentral describes it as "partial 16S ribosomal RNA". It matches the Rfam family "Bacterial small subunit ribosomal RNA", at positions 524 to 776 of the family's 1533-position model. The record is from RNAcentral.
UACAGAGGUCUCAAGCGUUGUUCGGAUUCAUUGGGCGUAAAGGGUGCGUAGGCGGCGCGGUAAGUCGGGUGUGAAAUCUCGGGGCUUAACUCCGAAACUGCAUUCGAUACUGCCGUGCUUGAGGACUGGAGAGGAGACUGGAAUUUACGGUGUAGCGGUGAAAUGCGUAGAUAUCAGGAGGAACACCGAUGGCGAAGGCAGGUCUCUGGGCCAUAACUGACGCUGAGAAGCGAAAGCAUGGGGAGCGAACAGG